This 594-nucleotide ribosomal RNA is filed under the name Halomonas caseinilytica. RNAcentral's name for it is "bacterial SSU rRNA". It matches the Rfam family "Bacterial small subunit ribosomal RNA", at positions 71 to 659 of the family's 1533-position model. The record is from RNAcentral. Lineage: Bacteria; Pseudomonadati; Pseudomonadota; Gammaproteobacteria; Oceanospirillales; Halomonadaceae.
GAUCCUAGCUUGCUAGGAGGCGUCGAGCGGCGGACGGGUGAGUAAUGCAUAGGAAUCUGCCCGGUAGUGGGGGAUAACCUGAGGAAACUCAGGCUAAUACCGCAUACGUCCUACGGGAGAAAGCAGGGGCUCUUCGGACCUUGCGCUAUCGGAUGAGCUUAUGUCGGAUUAGCUGGUUGGUGAGGUAACGGCUCACCAAGGCGACGAUCCGUAGCUGGUCUGAGAGGAUGAUCAGCCACAUCGGGACUGAGACACGGCCCGAACUCCUACGGGAGGCAGCAGUGGGGAAUAUUGGACAAUGGGGGCAACCCUGAUCCAGCCAUGCCGCGUGUGUGAAGAAGGCCCUCGGGUUGUAAAGCACUUUCAGUGAGGAAGAAGGCUUGUCGGUUAAUACCCGGCAAGAAAGACAUCACUCACAGAAGAAGCACCGGCUAACUCCGUGCCAGCAGCCGCGGUAAUACGGAGGGUGCGAGCGUUAAUCGGAAUUACUGGGCGUAAAGCGUGCGUAGGCGGCUUGAUAAGCCGGUUGUGAAAGCCCCGGGCUCAACCUGGGAACGGCAUCCGGAACUGUCAGGCUAGAGUGCAGGAGAGGAA